UACGUAGGGUGCGAGCGUUAAUCGGAAUUACUGGGCGUAAAGCGUGCGCAGGCGGUUUGCUAAGACCGAUGUGAAAUCCCCGGGCUUAACCUGGGAACUGCAUUGGUGACUGGCAGGCUAGAGUAUGGCAGAGGGGGGUAGAAUUCCACGUGUAGCAGUGAAAUGCGUAGAUAUCUGGAGGAAUACCGGUGGCGAAGGCGGCAUCCUGGACCAUUACUGACGCUGAAUCGCGAAAGCUAGGGGAGCAAACGGG
RNAcentral lists this ribosomal RNA (253 nucleotides) under uncultured bacterium. Its description in RNAcentral is "partial 16S ribosomal RNA". It matches the Rfam family "Bacterial small subunit ribosomal RNA", at positions 524 to 776 of the family's 1533-position model. The record is from RNAcentral.